This is a long non-coding RNA of Rhagoletis zephyria (snowberry fruit fly), 110 nucleotides long. RefSeq lists it as uncharacterized. The record is from RefSeq and is a predicted model, not a curated record. Lineage: Eukaryota; Metazoa; Arthropoda; Insecta; Diptera; Tephritidae.
CAAAUGCAAGAACAANUUCAAGGAAAAAGCAGCAGUGCUGCCAAUUGUUUGUCAUAUUUGAACAAAGUUGAUCUGAGAGCCAACGAAAGCUAAAUGACAUUUAAACAACA